This 72-nucleotide transfer RNA is filed under the name Heterocephalus glaber (naked mole-rat). It matches the Rfam family "tRNA". From Rfam's summary of the family: Transfer RNA (tRNA) molecules are approximately 80 nucleotides in length. Their secondary structure includes four short double-helical elements and three loops (D, anti-codon, and T loops). Lineage: Eukaryota; Metazoa; Chordata; Mammalia; Rodentia; Bathyergidae. The record is from Rfam by way of RNAcentral.
GGGUGUAUAGCUUAGUGGUAGAGCAUUUGCCUAGCAUGCACAAGGCCCUGGGUUUGAUCCUUAGUGCUCCUU